GCUAUCAGUGUUUUCCUAAUUGUAUAAUUCCUAGGAAAUUUCAGCAAAACAAAUAUGUUGUGUUGUCUUAUCUUUCUUGUGUUCUUGCAGAUGAGAGAAAAACAUCUGUCAGGAGGUCAGGCCCAAUCAAUCACCUGGAUCUUCAACCAAUUUAAGAUAAAACCUUUGUUCUUUGCACAGUUUGUAUUGAAUUACACCUCCCCUUUUAUUCCAGAAGAUUUUAACAGGCUAGGAGGACAUGGCAAUUUUCUACUGCUCCUUUUAUUACCAGGAUUUGCAUAUCCUUUUUUACUGAACUGUGAAAUUGGCAUUACAAAUUCAAGUAAGCUACAGUUUCCAGACAUGACAAAUAAUUAUGAGGCCUAAAUAAAAUCAGGCAUAAGAUCACAUUUGUUGGAUCUCCUGAUAUUAUUUUGAACACAGCUCUGUACUGAAAUCAGGUUCUUAGAGAGUAAGUUUUUAUAUAAAAUGAUUCUAAAAACAUAACCCUCUAUUUUUUGGCAUCAGAAGAAUAUGGGAACACUAAUAUGGUAAGGAUUGACACACAGUACAAACAAUGCACAAUGCACAAACAAUGGUAAAGAGGACUCAGAACAUGAUAUACUAGAGCUUUACAUAUUAACUGGGAAGGGUCAUUGAAGACCGUUUUAUGUGACUUCAAAAAUAAUGUGCAACUGCACAGUGUAGAGAAUUAACUCCUUAAAAUCCUCCGACCUAAGAUCAAGAAGCAUUUUCCUCACUGCUAAGAGUAGCAAAUAUCUGAGGACUCUUGCUGUGCUUCAUCAUUUAUUAGAGCUAUCUUUCACAAACGGGCUUUGGAAACUGACAGUCUCUGCAAACACCUAAGCAGACCACCAAUGACAUUAAAAGCCUUAUAUUUGUUAGAGGGUAUGCAGAUGUUCUGUGGCUUGUCAUACAUUUGGGUCUUUACAUUCUUCCUUCUAGGUAAUACUUAUUAUAAUCAUCAUAUUGGCAAGCUGACACGAUGAGCCACUCCAGUCAUAUUUUUCUGUUACAAAUCUAUUUUUGACACAUUUUUAGAAUAUUAAGCAGAUGAUCUCUAACUCUGAUUGAAACUCAAUUCUAAGAUUUAAACAUUCCUUUAUAACAUUGUAUCUCCAGUCAAAUUUUUGAGAUAUUUCUAAUUUUUCCAGAACAGGUGACUGGAUGAUUUCAGAGUAUUUGUUAAAAUUUGGUUGAGUCUGGCUCUUGUUAUUAAAGUCUCCUGACUAUAAUCUUGCUUUGAACAGAAAACAUAUGAAUUAUCAUAGAGUUAGGGAACAAUUCUAGUUGGGAGGGACUGAAAGAAGAUCCCAGGUAAAACCUGCUGUUUAAAUCUCAACUACGAAGUCAGAGAAGGUUGCAU
RNAcentral lists this long non-coding RNA (1366 nucleotides) under Anas platyrhynchos platyrhynchos (common mallard). RNAcentral describes it as "lncRNA (ENSAPLG00000020025.1)". Lineage: Eukaryota; Metazoa; Chordata; Aves; Anseriformes; Anatidae. The record is from RNAcentral.